GUAGAAUUGCAAGUGGAGGAAUAAAAUCCAAAGAUUUUUGCAGGAAUAUCGAAAGUGAAAGCAACAAACUAGUUUUAUACUGACGCUGAUUCACGAAAGUUUAGGUAGCGACCAGGAUUAGAGACCCUGUUAGUCUAAACUGUAAACGAUGAGCACUCAUUUUUGGGGUUAAAAUCUCAGAAGUUUAGCUAACGCGUUAAGUGCUCCACCUGAGAAGUACAGUGGCAACAUUGAAACUCAAAAGAAUUGACGGGGAUUUAUACGAUUCUUGGAACAUGCGAUUUAAUGCGUCAAUACUCGUCAAACCUUACCAACUUUUGAAUCUUUUAUAUUCUAAUGAAGCAAAUCAUUAUGUUAAAAAUGACAGGUGCUGCAUGGCUGUUGUCAGCUCGUGUUUUGAGAUGUUAGGUUAGGUCCAGUAACGAGCGAAACCCUUGUUCUUUAUUACAAAGCAUAAUUUG
RNAcentral lists this ribosomal RNA (461 nucleotides) under uncultured bacterium. RNAcentral describes it as "bacterial SSU rRNA". It matches the Rfam family "Bacterial small subunit ribosomal RNA", at positions 661 to 1132 of the family's 1533-position model. The record is from RNAcentral.